AAGGUAGGCUAGAUGAUCGCGGGCGGCCUUCGGGCCGCGUGAGGAAAGUCCGGGCUCCAUAGGACAUGACGCCGGGUAACACCCGGGAGCGGUAACGCUAUAGAGAGCACCACAGAAAAGAUACCGCCGGCUUGCCGGUAAGGGUGAAAUGGUGGGGUAAGAGCCCACCGCACCACUGGUAACAGGGGUGGCAGGGUAAGCCUCGUCAGGAGCAAUACCAAGCAGCAGGUAGGGUAGUCCGUCCAAAGCCUGCGGGUC
Molecule: RNase P RNA, 258 nt
Filed under: Spirochaetales bacterium
Lineage: Bacteria; Pseudomonadati; Spirochaetota; Spirochaetia; Spirochaetales
Description: partial RNase P RNA component class A
Rfam family: Bacterial RNase P class A
About the family: Ribonuclease P (RNase P) is a ubiquitous endoribonuclease, found in archaea, bacteria and eukarya as well as chloroplasts and mitochondria. Its best characterised activity is the generation of mature 5'-ends of tRNAs by cleaving the 5'-leader elements of precursor-tRNAs. Cellular RNase Ps are ribonucleoproteins.
Source: RNAcentral